RNAcentral lists this ribosomal RNA (404 nucleotides) under uncultured prokaryote. Its description in RNAcentral is "bacterial SSU rRNA". It matches the Rfam family "Bacterial small subunit ribosomal RNA", at positions 355 to 774 of the family's 1533-position model. The record is from RNAcentral.
UGGGGAAUAUUGGGCAAUGGGGGGAACCCUGACCCAGCAACGCCGCGUGAGGGAAGAAGGUUUUCGGAUUGUAAACCUCUGUUCUUGGGGAAGAGGAGAAGACGGUAUCCAAGGAGGAAGCCCCGGCUAACUACGUGCCAGCAGCCGCGGUAAUACGUAGGGGGCGAGCGUUGUCCGGAAUAAUUGGGCGUAAAGGGCGCGUAGGCGGCCAGACAAGUCAGUAGUGGAAGUCCCAUUUUCAAGGUGGGGAGGGCUAUUGAAACUGUAGGGCUUGAGUGCAGGAGAGGUUAUCGGAAUUCCCGGUGUAGCGGUGAAAUGCGUAGAGAUCGGGAGGAACACCAGUGGCGAAGGCGGGUAACUGGACUGCAACUGACGCUGAGGCGCGAAAGUGUGGGGAGCAAACA